Molecule: long non-coding RNA, 805 nt
Filed under: Olea europaea subsp. europaea
Lineage: Eukaryota; Viridiplantae; Streptophyta; Magnoliopsida; Lamiales; Oleaceae
Source: RNAcentral
UCACAAUCUGUCUGUCUGCCUGUCUCUUUCAAACUCAAACUCAAACAGUGGUUCUUGAACGUGACGCUUGGAAGAUGCAAGCUCCAAAAUUUUCAAACCGGCUGUCACCAGCGGACAGCUGGCUGUCACUGGUAACUGGCAUUUCGAGUAGAAAAAGCGCAAGCUCGUUCGUUUCAUUAGGGUUCCGUAAAUUCCAGUGCUGCUCCGUUCAGUCUCCAUCUUUAGGUUUCUAUCUCUGCAUUUCAGUGUGUGAACAUAGGUGUAUAUGUGUAUGGGCGUGUCUGUAUAUUCGCAUACAUUUAAUUGUUUUUGCAAUUUUCCUGUUGCAUUGACAUGCUUUUCUAUAUUCUAUAGUCAAUUUGCAGAAUUAACUUUUCCUUGAGUCGGUUAGACUAUGAAGAGCAGGAAAAUUAAAAUUAAUUAUAGUUCCGAGUCGAAAUUUUCUGAUUUUUAUUUUCCAGUUUAAUUGAGAGUUAAAAAGAGUUUCAAUGAUGAACUUAUUUUAGCGUGUGUUUUCUUCGCUCUUCUUUUUUAACCAUGCAUUCUUCAAAAUAUAACUAUUCCAAAAUACAAUUUUUUCCCCCAAAACACAUCUAAAUGGAGCAGAGAUCAAACGGGGCUUAAUGUUGUUAAAAAAUAAUUGUAUUUUAAAAUUUAUUUUUCUUUUUUUAUUAAUCUUUAGAUGGGUAAACAAGAGUUUGAUGCUGAUCAAAUUUUAGCAUUAGCAUUUGUUUUUAUUUUUUUCAUACUGGACAUUUUCAUAUGUUGUUAGAUGGUAGCGAGCGUUUGGAUUAUGAUGUUGUCC